Molecule: ribosomal RNA, 878 nt
Filed under: uncultured bacterium
Lineage: Bacteria
Description: bacterial SSU rRNA
Rfam family: Bacterial small subunit ribosomal RNA
Source: RNAcentral
AGAGUUUGAUCAUGGCUCAGGAUGAACGCUGGCGGCGUGCUAACACAUGCAAGUCGAGCGAUCUUCUUCGGAAGAGAGCGGCGGACGGGUGAGUAACGCGUGGGUAACCUGCCUCAUACACAUGGAUAACAUACCGAAAGGUAUGCUAAUACAAGAUGAUAUAAGAGAUUCGCAUGGAUUUCUUAUCAAAGCUUUUGCGGUAUGAGAUGGACCCGCGUCUGAUUAGCUAGUUGGUAAGGUAACGGCUUACCAAGGCGACGAUCAGUAGCCGACCUGAGAGGGUGAUCGGCCACAUUGGAACUGAGACACGGUCCAAACUCCUACGGGAGGCAGCAGUGGGGAAUAUUGCACAAUGGGCGAAAGCCUGAUGCAGCAACGCCGCGUGAGCGAUGAAGGCCUUCGGGUCGUAAAGCUCUGUCCUCAAGGAAGAUAAUGACGGUACUUGAGGAGGAAGCCCCGGCUAACUACGUGCCAGCAGCCGCGGUAAUACGUAGGGGGCUAGCGUUAUCCGGAUUUACUGGGCGUAAAGGGUGCGUAGGUGGUUUCUUAAGUCAGGAGUGAAAGGCUACGGCUCAACCGUAGUAAGCUCUUGAAACUGGGAAACUUGAGUGCAGGAGAGGAAAGUGGAAUUCCUAGUGUAGCGGUGAAAUGCGUAGAUAUUAGGAGGAACACCAGUAGCGAAGGCGGCUUUCUGGACUGUAACUGACACUGAGGCACGAAAGCGUGGGGAGCAAACAGGAUUAGAUACCCUGGUAGUCCACGCCGUAAACGAUGAGUACUAGGUGUCGGGGGUUACCCCCCUCGGUGCCGCAGCUAACGCAUUAAGUACUCCGCCUGGGGAGUACGCUCGCAAGAGUGAAACUCAAAGGAAUUGACGG